GACUGGCGGCGCUGGCUUGGCUUCUGCCUGAAGAGGAUUCAAGAUGACCAACGAAGAACCUCUUCCCAAGAAGGUUCGACUGAGUGAAACAGACUUCAAAGUUAUGGCAAGAGAUGAGUUAAUUCUAAGAUGGAAACAAUAUGAAGCAUAUGUACAGGCUUUGGAGGGCAAGUACACAGAUCUUAAUUCUAAUGAUGUAACUGGCCUAAGAGAGUCUGAAGAAAAACUAAAGCAACAACAGCAGGAGUCAGCACGCAGGGAAAACAUCCUUGUAAUGCGACUAGCAACCAAGGAACAAGAGAUGCAAGACAGUACCUCAAGCAAGUCCAGCAGCCGAGCGUUGCCCAACUGAGAUCAACAAUGGUAGACCCAGCGAUCAACUUGUUUUUCCUAAAAAUGAAAGGUGAACUGGAACAGACUAAAGACAAACUAGAACAAGCCCAAAAUGAACUGAGUGCCUGGAAGUUUACGCCUGAUAGCCAAACAGGGGAAAAGUUAAUGGCGAAGUGUCGAAUGCUUAUCCAGGAGAAUCAAGAGCUUGGAAGGCAGCUGUCCCAGGGACGUAGUGCACAACUUGAAGCAGAGUUGGCGUUACAGAAGAAAUAUAGUGAGGAGCUUAAAAGCAGUCAGGAUGAACUGAAUGGCUUCAUCAUCCAGCUUGAUGAAGAAGUAGAGGGUAUGCAGAGUACCAUUCUCGUUCUGCAGCAGCAGCUGAAGGAGACACGCCAGCAGUUGGCUCAGUACCAGCAGCAGCAGUCUCAGGCCUCUGCCCCAAGUACCAGCAGGACUACAGCUUCUGAACCUGUAGAACAGUUGGAGGCCACAAGUAAAGACUGCAGUCGUCUGACAAACGGACCAAGUAAUGGUAGCUCCUCCCGCCAGAGGACGUCUGGGUCUGGAUUUCACAGGGAGGGCAACACAACCGAAGAUGAUUUUCCUUCUUCUCCAGGGAAUGGUAAUAAGUCCUCCAACAGCUCAGAGGAGAGAACUGGCAGAGGAGGUAGUGGUUACGUAAAUCAACUCAGUGCGGGGUAUGAAAGUGUAGACUCUCCCACGGGCAGUGAAAACUCUCUCACACACCAAACAAAUGACACAGAUUCCAAUCAUGACCCUCAAGAGGAGAAAGCAGUGAGUGGGAAAGAUAACCGAACUGUGGGCUCCCGCCAUGUUCCGAAUGGCUUGGACUCAAGUGUAAAUGUACAGGGUUCAGUUUUGUAAUAUUUUUUCAGCAAAUUUUUAUACAGUGUCAUUUAAUUUGGGAGAGGAUACUUUCCAGAAAAUUAAUGCAAACUUUUGUCACAAUUUGCCUUUUUGUGGGUGUACGUUUUGGUUUUUUGUUGUUGUUUUCUCUUUUUUUUUUUCUUUUUUCUUUUUUUUUUUUUUUUUGCUUCAAUACCUCUGCCACUUUGGAUAUUGUAACAGUUAAUUACUUUGAAUGUUGCUAAAAGAACAUUUUUUGUAGGGUCAAGUUAUUUUUAUAUGAGUUAAUGUGAAAUUGUAAAGGAAAUUUUUCCUUAAAAUAUAACACAAUGACGUCUGUAUAAAUCUAUGUCUGUUUAGAACCUGUGCUGUGUAAGGGCAUUCUUCCUCAUGCUGUUACUGUACUUAUGCACCAUUCAGACUUGUUAGAGUAGAUGUGGGUUUAUGACUGCCAAGUUUGCCCAGUACAGUAGUUUUUUAUCACUAAAAGUUGGACUCAUUGAUGGAGUCCUGUAGUAGUUUCAGUGUUAGAUACAGUUUUUUCCACCAUACAUCUGUGCAUUUUCUCUUUAGGUGACUGAAUGUUUAAGAAAUUUGUGUGCAUAGUUACUCAGUUUUUAUGAACUGUUGUAUCCUGUUAAUGCAUAUUGCUCUGUGACUCCAGUAUAUCUUACCUGUACUGACCAAACCUAAAUAAAGAUUUUUAUUGUAACUCCUUAAAAAAA
This is an RNA transcript of Macaca mulatta (Rhesus monkey), 1925 nucleotides long. It is a transcript of the gene named pre-mRNA-splicing regulator WTAP pseudogene, with no coding region annotated. The record is from RefSeq and is a predicted model, not a curated record. NCBI's taxonomy places the organism in Eukaryota, Metazoa, Chordata, Mammalia, Primates, Cercopithecidae.